ACGAGCAAGAGAGAGCUUGCUUUCUUGAGCGAGUGGCGAACGGGUGAGUAACGCGUGAGGAGCCUGCCUCAAAGAGGGGGACAACAGUUGGAAACGACUGCUAAUACCGCAUAAGCCCACGGGUCGACAUCGACCAGAGGGAAAAGGAGCAAUCCGCUUUGAGAUGGCCUCGCGUCCGAUUAGCUAGUUGGUGAGGUAACGGCCCACCAAGGCAACGAUCGGUAGCCGGACUGAGAGGUUGAACGGCCACAUUGGGACUGAGACACGGCCCAGACUCCUACGGGAGGCAGCAGUGGGGAAUAUUGCACAAUGGGGGAAACCCUGAUGCAGCGACGCCGCGUGGAGGAAGAAGGUCUUCGGAUUGUAAACUCCUGUUGUUGAGGAAGAUAAUGACGGUACUCAACAAGGAAGUGACGGCUAACUACGUGCCAGCAGCCGCGGUAAAACGUAGGUCACAAGCGUUGUCCGGAAUUACUGGGUGUAAAGGGAGCGCAGGCGGGAAGACAAGUUGGAAGUGAAAUCCAUGGGCUCAACCCAUGAACUGCUUUCAAAACUGUUUUUCUUGAGUAGUGCAGAGGUAGGCGGAAUUCCCGGUGUAGCGGUGGAAUGCGUAGAUAUCGGGAGGAACACCAGUGGC
RNAcentral lists this ribosomal RNA (637 nucleotides) under uncultured Lachnospiraceae bacterium. RNAcentral describes it as "bacterial SSU rRNA". It matches the Rfam family "Bacterial small subunit ribosomal RNA", at positions 66 to 716 of the family's 1533-position model. Lineage: Bacteria; Bacillati; Bacillota; Clostridia; Lachnospirales; Lachnospiraceae. The record is from RNAcentral.